UACAGAGGCCUCGAGCGUUAGGCGGAAUCACUGGGCUUAAAGCGUGUGUAGGUGGAUGCCUAAGUACCUUGUGAAAUCCCACAGCUUAACUGUGGAAUUGCUUGGUAUACUGGGUGUCUUGAGCCACUCAGGGGCUACCGGAACAAGCGGUGGAGCGGUGAAAUGCGUAGAUAUCGCUUGGAACGCCAAAGGUGAAAACAGGUAGCUGGGGGUGUGCUGACACUGAGACACGAAAGCCAGGGGAGCAAACGGG
This 253-nucleotide ribosomal RNA is filed under the name uncultured bacterium. Its description in RNAcentral is "partial 16S ribosomal RNA". It matches the Rfam family "Bacterial small subunit ribosomal RNA", at positions 524 to 776 of the family's 1533-position model. The record is from RNAcentral.